GACAACGCGGGAAGCUUUGACGCACGGUCCCCAACCCGGUCGCCUUUGGACCGUGCCGAGCGAGUGGCGAGACCGCCCCGCGAUCGG
This 87-nucleotide non-coding RNA is filed under the name unclassified sequences. Its description in RNAcentral is "c-di-GMP sequence". It matches the Rfam family "c-di-GMP-II-GAG riboswitch aptamer". The record is from Rfam by way of RNAcentral.